Molecule: transfer RNA, 69 nt
Filed under: Marmota monax (woodchuck)
Lineage: Eukaryota; Metazoa; Chordata; Mammalia; Rodentia; Sciuridae
Description: tRNA.Met
Source: RNAcentral
GACAUAGCUCAGUUGGUAGAGUGUUUGCCUCAUAUGCACAAGGCCUUGGGUUCAAUCCGCAGUAAGACA